GCUCAGAUUGAACGCUGGCGGCAGGCCUAACACAUGCAAGUCGAACGGUAACAGGAAGAAGCUUGCUUCUUUGCUGACGAGUGGCGGACGGGUGAGUAAUGUCUGGGAAACUGCCUGAUGGAGGGGGAUAACUACUGGAAACGGUAGCUAAUACCGCAUAACGUCGCAAGACCAAAGAGGGGGACCUUCGGGCCUCUUGCCAUCGGAUGUGCCCAGAUGGGAUUAGCUAGUAGGUGGGGUAAAGGCUCACCUAGGCGACGAUCCCUAGCUGGUCUGAGAGGAUGACCAGCCACACUGGAACUGAGACACGGUCCAGACUCCUACGGGAGGCAGCAGUGGGGAAUAUUGCACAAUGGGCGCAAGCCUGAUGCAGCCAUGCCGCGUGUAUGAAGAAGGCCUUCGGGUUGUAAAGUACUUUCAGCGGGGAGGAAGGGAGUAAAGUUAAUACCUUUGCUCAUUGACGUUACCCGCAGAAGAAGCACCGGCUAACUCCGUGCCAGCAGCCGCGGUAAUACGGAGGGUGCAAGCGUUAAUCGGAAUUACUGGGCGUAAAGCGCACGCAGGCGGUUUGUUAAGUCAGAUGUGAAAUCCCCGGGCUCAACCUGGGAACUGCAUCUGAUACUGGCAAGCUUGGGUCUCGUAGAGGGGGGUAGAAUUCCAGGUGUAGCGGUGAAAUGCGUAGAGAUCUGGAGGAAUACCGGUGGCGAAGGCGGCCCCCCUGGACGAAGACUGACGCUCAGGUGCGAAAGCGUGGGGGGCAAACAGGAUUAGAUACCCUGGUAGUCCACGCCGUAAACGAUGUCGACUUGGAGGUUGUGCCCUUGAGGCGUGGCUUCCGGAGCUAACGCGUUAAGUCGACCGCCUGGGGAGUACGGCCGCAAGGUUAAAACUCAAAUGAAUUGACGGGGGCCCGCACAAGCGGUGGAGCAUGUGGUUUAAUUCGAUGCAACGCGAAGAACCUUACCUGGUCUUGACAUCCACAGAACUUUCCAGAGAUGGAUUGGUGCCUUCGGGAACUGUGAGACAGGUGCUGCAUGGCUGUCGUCAGCUCGUGUUGUGAAAUGUUGGGUUAAGUCCCGCAACGAGCGCAACCCUUAUCCUUUGUUGCCAGCGGUCCGGCCGGGAACUCAAAGGAGACUGCCAGUGAUAAACUGGAGGAAGGUGGGGAUGACGUCAAGUCAUCAUGGCCCUUACGACCAGGGCUACACACGUGCUACAAUGGCGCAUACAAAGAGAAGCGACCUCGCGAGAGCAAGCGGACCUCAUAAAGUGCGUCGUAGUCCGGAUUGGAGUCUGCAACUCGACUCCAUGAAGUCGGAAUCGCUAGUAAUCGUGGAUCAGAAUGCCACGGUGAAUACGUUCCCGGGCCUUGUACACACCGCCCGUCACACCAUGGGAGUGGGUUGCAAAAGAAGUAGGUAGCUUAACCUUCGGGAGGGCGCUUACCACUUUGUGAUUCAU
RNAcentral lists this ribosomal RNA (1461 nucleotides) under uncultured organism. RNAcentral describes it as "SSU rRNA". It matches the Rfam family "Bacterial small subunit ribosomal RNA". The record is from RNAcentral.